GACGUAGGGGGCGAGCGUUAUCCGGAGUUACUGGGCGUAAAGCGCCCGUAGGCGGUGGUGCGCGUUUUGCCUGACAGCUGCCAGCUUACCUGGCAGAGGGGGCGAAAGACGGUGGCACUUGAGCCGCAGAGAGGGACCUGGAAUUCCGCGUGUAGCAGUGAAAUGCGUAGAGAUGCGGAGGAACACCGAUGGCGAAGGCAGCCCCCUGGGCCAACACUGACGCUCAGGCACGAAAGCGUGGGGAGCAAACAGG
RNAcentral lists this ribosomal RNA (253 nucleotides) under uncultured bacterium. RNAcentral's name for it is "partial 16S ribosomal RNA". It matches the Rfam family "Bacterial small subunit ribosomal RNA", at positions 524 to 776 of the family's 1533-position model. The record is from RNAcentral.